Molecule: ribosomal RNA, 114 nt
Filed under: Escherichia coli
Lineage: Bacteria; Pseudomonadati; Pseudomonadota; Gammaproteobacteria; Enterobacterales; Enterobacteriaceae
Description: partial 23S ribosomal RNA
Rfam family: Bacterial large subunit ribosomal RNA
Source: RNAcentral
GGGUUGUGAGGUUAAGCGACUAAGCGUACACGGUGGAUGCCCAGGCAGUCAGAGGCGAUGAAGGACGUGCUAAUCUGCGAUAAGCGUCGGUAAGGUGAUAUGAACCGUUAUAAC